GGAAUCUUGCGCAAUGGGCGAAAGCCUGACGCAGCAACGCCGCGUGCGGGAAGAAGGCUUUCGGGCUGUAAACCGCUUUCAGUAGGAACGAAACUGACGGUACCUACAGAAGAAGGAGCGGCCAACUAUGUGCCAGCAGCCGCGGUGACACAUAGGCUCCAAGCGUUGUCCGGAUUUAUUGGGCGUAAAGAGCUCGUAGGCGGUCGAGUAAGUCGGGUGUGAAAACUCUGGGCUUAACCCAGAGGUGCCACUCGAUACUGCUGUGACUUGAGUUCGGUAGGGGAGCGGGGAAUUCCUUGUGUAGCGGUGAAAUGCGCAGAUAUGAGGAGGAACACCGGUGGCGAAGGCGCCGCUCUGGGCCGUAACUGACGCUGAGGAGCGAAAGCGUGGGUAGCAAACAGGAUUAGAUACCCUGGUAGUCCACGCGGUAAACGGUGGUCACUAGGUGUGGGUCUCUACCAAUGAGAUCCGCGCCGUCGCUAACGCAUUAAGUGACCUGCCUGGGGAGUACGGUCGCAAGACUAAAACUCAAAUGAAUUGACGG
RNAcentral lists this ribosomal RNA (544 nucleotides) under uncultured bacterium. RNAcentral describes it as "bacterial SSU rRNA". It matches the Rfam family "Bacterial small subunit ribosomal RNA", at positions 358 to 916 of the family's 1533-position model. The record is from RNAcentral.